UGGGGAAUCUUGGACAAUGGGCGCAAGCCUGAUCCAGCCAUGCCGCGUGAGCGAUGAAGGCCUUAGGGUUGUAAAGCUCUUUCACCGGUGAAGAUAAUGACGGUAGCCGGAGAAGAAGCCCCGGCUAACUCCGUGCCAGCAGCCGCGGUAAUACGGAGGGGGCUAGCGUUGUUCGGAAUUACUGGGCGUAAAGCGCACGUAGGCGGACCAGAAAGUUGGGGGUGAAAUCCCGGGGGCUCAACCCCGGAACUGCCUCCAAAACUAUUGGUCUAGAGUUCGAGAGAGGUGAGUGGAAUUCCAAGUGUAGAGGUGAAAUUCGUAGAUAUUUGGAGGAACACCAGUGGCGAAGGCGGCUCACUGGCUCGAUACUGACGCUGAGGUGCGAAAGUGUGGGGAGCAAACAGGAUUAGAUACCCUGGUAGUCCACACCGUAAAACGAUGAAUGCCAGUCGUCGGGUAGCAUGCUAUUCGGUGACACACCUAACGGAUUAAGCAUUCCGCCUGGGGAGUACGGUCGCAAGAUUAAAACUCAAAUGAAUUG
This 541-nucleotide ribosomal RNA is filed under the name uncultured bacterium. RNAcentral's name for it is "bacterial SSU rRNA". It matches the Rfam family "Bacterial small subunit ribosomal RNA", at positions 355 to 912 of the family's 1533-position model. The record is from RNAcentral.